GGGCCGGCCGGCCGGUCUGGGGCAACGAGCUGCCUGUGCCCGGCUGGGGGCUCCCCUGAAUGUGGGGGGGAUCAGUGCAGCCUCCGUGUGGGUGGGGAGCGCCCCAUGGCCAGCUCCCCGCGAGGGUGGGUUGAGGGGUCGCGUUGGAGAGUGAACGCCCUUGGCCAAAGGGUGCCAGGCACACGUAAGAUCCUCGCUCUUACGUCGGCGGCCCGCUGUGCCGGCGAGGGGGCUCACUUUGCGCGUGGUUUGCCGUCACCACUUUGCAAUAUCGGCUAUGGCGGCUGCUCUCCUAAAGCUGCUCCCUCUAGACCCAGGGGACGAAGGCACGCAAAGAUGCAGGAUGGGACCUGCCACGUUAUCCACUCUGGGAGCCAGGCUCGGCUCCCCACUUAGGAUCACGGUUCCUGGUGGCUGCUGUUUGUGCACUGCCUGGCCCAGAAAUGAUUUGGCUGAUGGUUACCUGCAGCUUGAUCUGAAAUGUAAAACUUCAGGUUUAGCUGCAAGCAAGUUGAAAGGUCUCACGCUGAGUGUCAGUCACUUGAAGCUUUUGGCCUGUCACCGGUUGAGAAAAGUAACAGUGAAAGUGGUCCUUAAGAACCUUACCGUGAAAAAAUCCACCCCAGAAGCAACACUACAGGAGAUAGUCAAAGAGCUGCUGAGGAAUGUGUAUGUUUCUCUUCACCAUGUUGUUACUGCUGCCCCAAUUCCUGGAAAUCCAGUGGUGUGUGUUGAAAUACUGGCUGUAGAUGCUUCGACAGAAGAAGCUGGCCUGAUAGCUCCCAAAACUAAUAUAAACAUUAAAGAAGUAGUCACUUUAGAAUGGUACAGACACUUGUCAAAGGACACCGCAAAAAUUUCAGUUGCAGGAAUGGAUGAUUUGGGCAGCUCUUUGAAAGAGAUGAUUGUUUUGCCUUUCCAUUUUCCCAAAACAUUCAAAAAGUUGGGUCUUUCUGCCCCUAGGGGAGUACUGUUGGUGGGCCCUCCAGGUGUGGGGAAGACUCUUCUCGUAAAGGCAGUUGCAAGGGAAGUGGGGGCGUAUUUGCUUUGCAUCAGUGGUCCAGCUAUAUAUGGCUCAAGACCUGGAGAAAGUGAAGAGAAUUUGCGAAGAGUUUUUGAACAAGGCAAGGAAUUGUCCAGUGAAGGACCAACCAUUCUCUUUAUUGAUGAAAUUGACUCUUUGUGCCCUAAACGGGGAAGUUCAAACAGCAUCCCUGAAAAUCGUAUUGUUGCUCAAUUGUUAACUCUUAUGGACGGCAUAGGCAGUGAAAAUGAGAUGGUCAUCAUGGCAGCGACAAACAGGCCCGAUGCCUUAGAUCCUGCACUGAGGAGACAUGGUAGAUUUGACCGAGAGGUUAUCAUUGGGACACCAACACUUAAACAGAGAAGGUCUAUUCUGCAGUUGAUUACUUCUAAUAUGCCUAUUUCCACUGAUGUUGAUUUGAUUAACCUAGCAGAAAUGACAACUGGAUAUGUUGGAGCUGAUCUUACGGCAUUCUGCAGAGAAGCUGCUAUGCAGGCUGUUCUCCACAGCUGUUUGGAUUCAGUUCACAUGUUGAUUAACAUGGCAGAUUUCCAUGAAGCUUUUAAAAAGAUUCAGCCAUCUUCCUUUCGAAGCAGUGUUGGACUAAUUGACUUUAAACCUGUUACCUGGGAACAAAUUGGUGGUCUUGAAGAUGUGAAAUUAAAGUUAAAACAGAGUAUUGAGUGGCCUAUGAAGUUUCCUCAGGCUUUUGUGAGGAUGGGACUGUCUCAGCCAAAGGGUAUUCUCCUAUAUGGGCCACCAGGAUGUGCCAAAACCACUCUGGUGAAGGCUGUGGCCACAAGCUGCCAUUGUUCCUUUCUUUCUGUUAGUGGUGCUGACCUUUUUUCACCUUAUGUUGGAGAUUCAGAGAAGAUUUUGUCUCAGGUUUUUCGCCAAGCAAGAGCACAUACUCCAGCAAUAAUAUUCCUGGAUGAGAUUGAUUCUAUCCUAGGAUCUCGAUCAGCCUGCAAAAUUGGACAUGGUGCCCCAGAGAAAGUUCUUUCUGUCCUUCUUAAUGAAUUAGAUGGUGUUGGCAUUAAAGUCACAGAGAGAAGAGGAAAUAAAUUACAGCUUGAAGGUGAUUGUCAAGAACAAAACGAAAAGGAGAGACAGAUAGAGUUUCAAGAAAUUUUGAACAAAGAUGUCAUGAUAGUUGCUGCAACAAAUAGACCAGACAAAUUGGAUGAUGCCUUGUUGCGUCCUGGAAGGUUAGACAAGAUCAUCUAUAUUCCACCUCCAGAUCAGAAGGGAAGGCUUUCUAUUUUGAAAAUUUGCACAGAAAAAAUCCCAAUAGAUUCUGAUGUGUCAUUAGAAUACCUAGCAGUUCAAACCAAACUCUUUUCUGGAGCAGAUAUUGAAAAUCUCUGCAAGGAGGCUGCUUUGCAGGCAUUACACGAGAAUGGACUUGAAGCAACUAGUGUGAAACAUGAGCAUUUUGUAAAAUCACUGAAGACUGUAAAACCAUCAUUAACUCCCUCAGAUUUGGAUUUUUAUGAAAAAUUAUUUAAUAAGGAAGUAUUCUCUUAUAUCAGAAAAAUCUGAAGAAUGACAUGUAAAAAUUGGAAGCUGAUUGGUCACUAAUUACCACUGUCAGUGCCCCAGAGGGAAUAGAACUGCAGGUCCUCAGCUGAAGUCAGACCUAAGGUGAUUGCAGUUGAUACCACAGGUUACUGCCACCCAGCACCUGGUCUGAGAAUAGGAGAAACACACAAUUUCACCCCAAGAAAAAGAGAAUUGCCUGAGGCCCAGAGGGGGUGUGCUCAAAAAGAUCAAAGUGGAGGAAGUGCAGUUAGCCUGUUAAUCGUGAUACAGAUCAUUGUCACAAACAAGAUCAUCUGCAGAAGUCACUGUCAAACAAAUACUGCAUCUCUACAAGACAGUCCACUAGGUCUGCAGCUCAGAUAAAUUACGAUUUCAAUCAUCUAUAAAAUGAGACAGCAGGACAGUUAAGGAUUUUUAAUUCACAUCCGUACUUAAAGGUCUAGUCUGGAUUUUGGAUACAAGAUCUUCAGGAGUAAAAGGCUUUUCUAUAAUCUUAAAAAAACAAAGACUGAAGUGCCAGAGGAUCCUGAGGACAAAAUGCUUGUAUGAAUAAAGUAUAUUAAGUGCCAUUGACUGUGGGAACUGUGAGCCACUAAAGUCAUGUGUAGGUUCCUCACAAUCUGCAAAUACGUGUAUCAUAUAACUUGUAUAGUAUUUUUAGAGGUAGACGUACCAGAAGCACUUUUGGCUAUUGCAGGUAUAUAGCAUCACUGAAAUGAAACUGCCAUUUGGUGGUUUGCCUGUUUUUGUGAACCCAUUUUGGGAACCCAUUUUGUCCAAAAGAAUCUUACAUCAUCUGUUGUUGGAUCAGUAAUGAAACAAGCAGAUACCAAUACAAGCACAAACCUAUUUAAAUAAGACAGUCCAGAGGUAAGUAAGUAAUUCGUGUUGUGGGGAAGAGUGGUGUUUUUACUGACAAUCUUUUUGUCAAUCCCCAAUUUCCCUCCUACAUUCCAUCAUCCUUUAUGCGUUUGCAUUGUAAUUGGAAAUGUUUGUUAAAAAUACACUGAUCUGGAAGUGAAUGAUUAAAUAUUUUUACAAGUGUC
Molecule: RNA transcript, 3612 nt
Organism: Mauremys mutica (yellowpond turtle)
Lineage: Eukaryota; Metazoa; Chordata; Testudines; Geoemydidae
Gene: AFG2B
Gene name: spermatogenesis associated 5 like 1
Exons: 10
Source: RefSeq, a predicted model, not a curated record